CAGGACGAACGCUGGCGGCAUGCCUAAUACAUGCAAGUCGAACGCGACCAGCCGGUGCUUGCACUGGCGAAGUCGAGUGGCGAACGGGUGAGUAACACGUGAGAAACCUACCCUGGAGUGGGAAUAACUCGAAGAAAUUCGAGCUAAUACCGCAUACCUUCUUACCGUCGAAUGGUGGUUUGAAGAAAGAUUUAUCGCUCUGGGAGGGUCUCGCGGCCUAUCAGCUAGUUGGUGAGGUAACGGCUCACCAAGGCAUCGACGGGUAGCUGGUCUGAGAGGACGAUCAGCCACACUGGAACUGAGACACGGUCCAGGCUCCUACGGGAGGCAGCAGUAGGGAAUCUUGCGCAAUGGGCGAAAGCCUGACGCAGCAAUGCCGCGUGCGGGACGAAGGCCCUAGGGUCGUAAACCGCUUUCAGUAGGGACGAGAAUGACGGUACCUGCAGAAGAAGCUCCGGCCAACUACGUG
RNAcentral lists this ribosomal RNA (469 nucleotides) under uncultured bacterium. Its description in RNAcentral is "bacterial SSU rRNA". It matches the Rfam family "Bacterial small subunit ribosomal RNA", at positions 25 to 507 of the family's 1533-position model. The record is from RNAcentral.